CCUACGGGUGGCAGCAGUGAGGAAUAUUGGUCCAUGGGCGAGAGCCUGAACCAGCCACGCCGCGUGAGGGAUGAAGGUUCUACGGCUUGUAAACCUCUUUUAUAUGGGAAUAAAUUGAGGAACUUGUUCCUUUGUGUAUGUACCAGAUUAAUAAUCAUCGGCUAACUCCGUGCCAUCAGCCGCGGUAAUACGGAGGAUGCGAGCGUUUUCCGGAUUUAUUGGGUUUAAAGUGUGCGCCGGUGGUUAAGUAAGUCAGCGGGGAACGUUUGUGGGUCAACCAUAAAAUUGCAGUUGACACUGGGUGACUUGAGUAUAUGAGAGGUAGGCGGAAUGCGCGGUGUAGCGGUGAAAUGCAUAGAGAGCACGAAGAACUCCGAUUGCGAAGGCAGCUUACUGGACUAUAACUGACGCUGAAGCACGAAGGCGUGGGGAUCAAACAGGAUUAGAUACCCGGGUAGUC
Molecule: ribosomal RNA, 460 nt
Filed under: uncultured bacterium
Lineage: Bacteria
Description: partial 16S ribosomal RNA
Rfam family: Bacterial small subunit ribosomal RNA
Source: RNAcentral